This 215-nucleotide unclassified non-coding RNA is filed under the name uncultured Acidimicrobiia bacterium. Its description in RNAcentral is "contains 16S-23S intergenic spacer region". It matches the Rfam family "Bacterial small subunit ribosomal RNA", at positions 976 to 1195 of the family's 1533-position model. The record is from RNAcentral. Lineage: Bacteria; Bacillati; Actinomycetota; Acidimicrobiia.
UGGGUUUGACAUGGUGGGAAAAGCCGCAGAGAUGCGGUGUCCGCAAGGGCCCUGCACAGGUGGUGCAUGGCUGUCGUCAGCUCGUGUCGUGAGAUGUUGGGUUAAGUCCCGCAACGAGCGCAACCCUUGUCCUAUGUUGCCAGCGGGUAAUGCCGGGGACUCGUAGGAGACUGCCGGGGUCAACUCGGAGGAAGGUGGGGAUGACGUGAUCUACG